RNAcentral lists this ribosomal RNA (1554 nucleotides) under Salmonella enterica subsp. enterica serovar Krefeld str. SA20030536. RNAcentral describes it as "bacterial SSU rRNA". It matches the Rfam family "Bacterial small subunit ribosomal RNA". Lineage: Bacteria; Pseudomonadati; Pseudomonadota; Gammaproteobacteria; Enterobacterales; Enterobacteriaceae. The record is from RNAcentral.
UUAAAUUGAAGAGUUUGAUCAUGGCUCAGAUUGAACGCUGGCGGCAGGCCUAACACAUGCAAGUCGAACGGUAACAGGAAGCAGCUUGCUGCUUCGCUGACGAGUGGCGGACGGGUGAGUAAUGUCUGGGAAACUGCCUGAUGGAGGGGGAUAACUACUGGAAACGGUGGCUAAUACCGCAUAACGUCGCAAGACCAAAGAGGGGGACCUUCGGGCCUCUUGCCAUCAGAUGUGCCCAGAUGGGAUUAGCUUGUUGGUGAGGUAACGGCUCACCAAGGCGACGAUCCCUAGCUGGUCUGAGAGGAUGACCAGCCACACUGGAACUGAGACACGGUCCAGACUCCUACGGGAGGCAGCAGUGGGGAAUAUUGCACAAUGGGCGCAAGCCUGAUGCAGCCAUGCCGCGUGUAUGAAGAAGGCCUUCGGGUUGUAAAGUACUUUCAGCGGGGAGGAAGGUGUUGUGGUUAAUAACCACAGCAAUUGACGUUACCCGCAGAAGAAGCACCGGCUAACUCCGUGCCAGCAGCCGCGGUAAUACGGAGGGUGCAAGCGUUAAUCGGAAUUACUGGGCGUAAAGCGCACGCAGGCGGUCUGUCAAGUCGGAUGUGAAAUCCCCGGGCUCAACCUGGGAACUGCAUUCGAAACUGGCAGGCUUGAGUCUUGUAGAGGGGGGUGGAAUUCCAGGUGUGGCGGUGAAAUGCGUAGAGAUCUGGAGGAAUACCGGUGGCGAAGGCGGCCCCCUGGACAAAGACUGACGCUCAGGUGCGAAAGCGUGGGGAGCAAACAGGAUUAGAUACCCUGGUAGUCCACGCCGUAAACGAUGUCUACUUGGAGGUUGUGCCCUUGAGGCGUGGCUUCCGGAGCUAACGCGUUAAGUAGACCGCCUGGGGAGUACGGCCGCAAGGUUAAAACUCAAAUGAAUUGACGGGGGCCCGCACAAGCGGUGGAGCAUGUGGUUUAAUUCGAUGCAACGCGAAGAACCUUACCUGGUCUUGACAUCCACGGAAGUUUUCAGAGAUGAGAAUGUGCCUUCGGGAACCGUGAGACAGGUGCUGCAUGGCUGUCGUCAGCUCGUGUUGUGAAAUGUUGGGUUAAGUCCCGCAACGAGCGCAACCCUUAUCCUUUGUUGCCAGCGAUUAGGUCGGGAACUCAAAGGAGACUGCCAGUGAUAAACUGGAGGAAGGUGGGGAUGACGUCAAGUCAUCAUGGCCCUUACGACCAGGGCUACACACGUGCUACAAUGGCGCAUACAAAGAGAAGCGACCUCGCGAGAGCAAGCGGACCUCAUAAAGUGCGUCGUAGUCCGGAUUGGAGUCUGCAACUCGACUCCAUGAAGUCGGAAUCGCUAGUAAUCGUGGAUCAGAAUGCCACGGUGAAUACGUUCCCGGGCCUUGUACACACCGCCCGUCACACCAUGGGAGUGGGUUGCAAAAGAAGUAGGUAGCUUAACCUUCGGGAGGGCGCUUACCACUUUGUGAUUCAUGACUGGGGUGAAGUCGUAACAAGGUAACCGUAGGGGAACCUGCGGUUGGAUCACCUCCUUACCUGAAAGAA